AGAGUUUGAUCCUGGCGUCAGGAUGAACGCUGGCGGCGUGCUUAACACAUGCAAAGUCGAACGAAGCAACAUUGAAGGAAUUCUUCGGAAGGAAAGUGAUGUGACUGAGUGGCGGACGGGUGAGUAACGCGUGGGUAACCUGCCUUACACAGGGGGAUAACAGUUAGAAAUGACUGCUAAUACCGCAUAAGACCACAGGGUCGCAUGAUCUUGUGGAAAAAACUGAGGUGGUGUAAGAUGGGCCCGCGUCUGAUUAGCUAGUUGGUGAGGUAAGAGCUCACCAAGGCGACGAUCAGUAGCCGACCUGAGAGGGUGAACGGCCACAUUGGGACUGAGACACGGCCCAAACUCCUACGGGAGGCAGCAGUGGGGAAUAUUGCACAAUGGGGGAAACCCUGAUGCAGCGACGCCGCGUGAGUGAAGAAGUAUUUCGGUAUGUAAAGCUCCAUCAGCAGGGAAGAAAGUGACGGUACCCGACUAAGAAGCCCCGGCUAACUACGUG
RNAcentral lists this ribosomal RNA (502 nucleotides) under uncultured Lachnospiraceae bacterium. Its description in RNAcentral is "bacterial SSU rRNA". It matches the Rfam family "Bacterial small subunit ribosomal RNA", at positions 8 to 507 of the family's 1533-position model. Lineage: Bacteria; Bacillati; Bacillota; Clostridia; Lachnospirales; Lachnospiraceae. The record is from RNAcentral.